Molecule: ribosomal RNA, 357 nt
Filed under: uncultured soil bacterium
Lineage: Bacteria
Description: bacterial SSU rRNA
Rfam family: Bacterial small subunit ribosomal RNA
Source: RNAcentral
AGAUUGAACGCUGGCGGCAGGCCUAACACAUGCAAGUCGAGCGGCAGCGACGGGUACUUGUACCUGGUGGCGAGCGGCGGACGGGUGAGUAAUGCCUAGGAAUCUGCCUGGUAGUGGGGGAUAACGCUACGGAAACGGCGCUAAUACCGCAUACCGUCCUACGGGAGAAAGCGACGGGGUACCUUCGGGCCUUGCGCUAUCAGAUGAGCCUAGGUCGAUUAGCUAGUGUGAGGUAUGGCUCACCGAAGGCGACGAUACCGUAACUGGUCUGGAGAGAUGAUCAGUCACACUAGGAACUGAACGACACGGUCCAGACCGUCCGUAGGGAGGCAGCAGGUAGGGAAUAGUUGGACAGUA